Molecule: ribosomal RNA, 897 nt
Filed under: Bacillus cereus
Lineage: Bacteria; Bacillati; Bacillota; Bacilli; Caryophanales; Bacillaceae
Description: bacterial SSU rRNA
Rfam family: Bacterial small subunit ribosomal RNA
Source: RNAcentral
AUGUGCAAAGCCCCUCCGCUUACCCCGGGGAGGGUCAUUGGAAUUUUGCGCGACUUGAGUACAGAAGAGGAAGAGGGGAAUUCACAUGUGGAGCGGUGAAAUGCAUAGAGAUGUGGAGGCACCCCAGUGGGGGGGGGGACUUUCUGGUCUGUAACUGACAUGAGGCGAGAAAGCGUGGGGAGCAAACAAGAUUAGAUACCCUGGUAGUCCACUCCAUAAACGAAGAGAUCUAAGUGUUAGAGGGUUUCCGCCCUAUAGUGGUAAAGAAAACGCAUUAAGCACUCCGCCGGGGGAGUAGGGCCGCAAGGCUGAAACUCAAAAGAAGUGAGGGGGGCCCGCACAAGCGGUGGAGCAUGUGGUUUAUUUAGAAGCAACGAGAAGAACCUUACCAGGUCUUGACAUCGUUUGAAAACCCUAGAAAUAGGGUUUCUCCUUUGGGAGCAGAGUGACAGGUGGUGCAUGGUUGUCGUCAGCUCGUGUCGUGAGAUGUUGGGUUAAGUCCCGCAACGAGCGCAACCCUUGAUCUUAGUUGCCAUCAUUAAGUUGGGCACUUUAAGGUGACUGCCGGUGACAAACCGGAGGAAGGUGGGGAUGACGUCAAAUCAUCAUGCCCCUUAUGACCUGGGCUACACACGUCUACAAUGGACGGUACAAAGAGUUGCCAGCCCGCGAGGGGAGCUAAUCUCAUAAAAUCGUUUUCAGUUCGGAUUGUAGGUUGCAACUUGCCUACAUGAAGCUGGAAUCGCUAGUAAUUGCGGAUCAGCAUGCCGCGGUGAAUACGUUCCCGGGCCUUGUACACACCGCCCGUCACACCCCGAGAGUUUGUAACACCCGAAGUCGGUGGGGUAACCUUUAUGGAGCCAGCCGCCUAAGGUGGGACAGAUGAUGGGGGAAGUC